UACGUAGGUGACCAGCGUUGUCCGGAUUUACUGGGCGUAAAGGGCGCGUAGGCGGCGUAACAAGUCACUUGUGAAAUCUCCGGGCUUAACCCGGAGUGGCCAAGUGAUACUGUUGUGCUAGAGUGCGGAAGGGGCUACUGGAAUUCUCGGUGUAGCGGUGAAAUGCGUAGAGAUCGGCAGGAACACCCAGGGGGAAACCAGUCGACUGGGCAUCUACUGACGCUGAGGUGCGAGAGCGUGGGGAGCAAACAGG
RNAcentral lists this ribosomal RNA (253 nucleotides) under uncultured bacterium. Its description in RNAcentral is "partial 16S ribosomal RNA". It matches the Rfam family "Bacterial small subunit ribosomal RNA", at positions 524 to 776 of the family's 1533-position model. The record is from RNAcentral.